RNAcentral lists this ribosomal RNA (984 nucleotides) under uncultured bacterium. RNAcentral's name for it is "bacterial SSU rRNA". It matches the Rfam family "Bacterial small subunit ribosomal RNA", at positions 9 to 1023 of the family's 1533-position model. The record is from RNAcentral.
GAGUUUGAUCCUGGCUCAGGAUGAACGCUGGCGGUAUGCUUAACACAUGCAAGUCGAACGAUGUGGGGACGUAGCAAUGCUACGUCUGUGCAUAGUGGCGGACGGGUGAGUAACGCGUGAGAAUCUAGCUUCAGGUUCGGGACAACAUUGGGAAACCGAUGCUAAUACCGGAUGUGCCGAGAGGUGAAAGGCUAGCCGCCUGAAGAAGAGCUCGCGUCUGAUUAGCUAGUUGGUGGUGUAAGGGACUACCAAGGCGACGAUCAGUAGCUGGUCUGAGAGGAUGAUCAGCCACACUGGAACUGAGACACGGUCCAGACUCCUACGGGAGGCAGCAGUGGGGAAUUUUCCGCAAUGGGCGAAAGCCUGACGGAGCAAUACCGCGUGAGGGAGGAAGGCUCUUGGGUUGUAAACCUCUUUUCUCAAGGAAGAAGUUCUGACGGUACUUGAGGAAUCAGCAUCGGCUAACUCCGUGCCAGCAGCCGCGGUAAUACGGAGGAUGCAAGCGUUAUCCGGAAUGAUUGGGCGUAAAGCGUCCGCAGGUGGUUGUGUGUGUCUAUUGUCAAAGCAUCAUGCUUAACAUGAUAAAGGCAGUAGAAACUACACGACUAGAGUGCGUUCGGGGCAGAGGAAAUUCCUGGUGUAGCGGUGAAAUGCGUAGAGAUCAGGAAGAACACCGGUGGCGAAAGCGCUCUGCUAGGCCGCAACUGACACUGAGGGACGAAAGCUAGGGGAGCGAAUGGGAUUAGAUACCCCAGUAGUCCUAGCCGUAAACGAUGGAUACUAGGCGUUGAGAGUAUCGACCCUCUCAGUGCCGUAGCUAACGCGUUAAGUAUCCCGCCUGGGGAGUACGCACGCAAGUGUGAAACUCAAAGGAAUUGACGGGGGCCCGCACAAGCGGUGGAGUAUGUGGUUUAAUUCGAUGCACGCGAAGANCUUACCAGGCUUGACAUGUCUGGACUUCGUGAAAGCUGAAGGUGCCUUCGG